CCAAAGAGUGUUCUUUUAACAAUGCCUAGUGUCUUGAGCAAAUUGGCAUUUCAAAGCUCAAGCACUGUACACCAGUGUUGUUAGACAAAUGUUCAUCUGUUUAACUGGAAAGACCAGUGCCACAUACCUGACUAAGCUGUUUCACAUUUCAUAUGUACUCACAAAGUAAAAAACAUUGGCUCUUUUCAACAGAUUGCUGUACAUCCUAUUUACAUGUUUCCCACCACCCACAGGAACACACUUGGCAAUCCAGAAGUUUUUCAACAUGCUAAUUAAUGCAGAUAAUUCAUCUUGCCUUCCGAGCAAAACGUUAAACAGGCAUGAAAGGAAAGGAGCUGCUCAUUGUCCAGGAGGGCGGAAGUAGAGUCCUCCAAGGAGGCAUCACUGCCUCCUCGAUCCAGUCCAGCAAGGCAUCCCAGAGGCAAGGGGACCUGCUGUGGCUUCCCACGACCCUGCCGUCACACUGAGGCACCUUGUGUCCCUGAGCAGAGUUACAUGCUCCAAGACUCCCUGGAGCACGUGCAGCUGUUUGACCUGAUGAGGAGGAUGUUAGAAUUUGACCCUGC
This 566-nucleotide long non-coding RNA is filed under the name Homo sapiens (human). RNAcentral describes it as "HSALNT0147257". The record is from RNAcentral. Lineage: Eukaryota; Metazoa; Chordata; Mammalia; Primates; Hominidae.